GGCUGGUUAGCUCAGUCGGUUGAGCGUGGCGCUAACAUCGCCAAGGUACGCAGGUUCGAUUCCCGUUCAGUCC
Molecule: transfer RNA, 73 nt
Filed under: Apaloderma vittatum (bar-tailed trogon)
Lineage: Eukaryota; Metazoa; Chordata; Aves; Trogoniformes; Trogonidae
Rfam family: tRNA
About the family: Transfer RNA (tRNA) molecules are approximately 80 nucleotides in length. Their secondary structure includes four short double-helical elements and three loops (D, anti-codon, and T loops).
Source: Rfam by way of RNAcentral